RNAcentral lists this transfer RNA (95 nucleotides) under Fusarium langsethiae. It matches the Rfam family "tRNA". From Rfam's summary of the family: Transfer RNA (tRNA) molecules are approximately 80 nucleotides in length. Their secondary structure includes four short double-helical elements and three loops (D, anti-codon, and T loops). Further hydrogen bonds mediate the characteristic L-shaped molecular structure. tRNAs have two regions of fundamental functional importance: the anti-codon, which is responsible for specific mRNA codon recognition, and the 3' end, to which the tRNAs corresponding amino acid is attached (by aminoacyl-tRNA synthetases). tRNAs cope with the degeneracy of the genetic code in two manners: having more than one tRNA (with a specific anti-codon) for a particular amino acid; and 'wobble' base-pairing, i.e. permitting non-standard base-pairing at the 3rd anti-codon position. The record is from Rfam by way of RNAcentral. Lineage: Eukaryota; Fungi; Ascomycota; Sordariomycetes; Hypocreales; Nectriaceae.
GGCAACGUGGCCGAGUGGUUAAGGCGACUGCCUCGAAUAUUGGUUAUUGUAAGCAGUUCCCUUCGGGGGCGCAGGUUCGAAUCCUGCCGUUGUCG